Molecule: long non-coding RNA, 475 nt
Filed under: Homo sapiens (human)
Lineage: Eukaryota; Metazoa; Chordata; Mammalia; Primates; Hominidae
Description: HSALNT0369181
Source: RNAcentral
UCAUUAUCCUUGAAAAUUGGUAUAAAGAAGAUAGAGUUGUCAAGUCAAUAGUUGCUUGCCAGGUGUCAGGAACUGUCUCGAAUGUUUCAGGAAAGAUGCUAAACUUAAUGAGGUUAACUAACCUCCUGAUUAUAUUUAAUAUAAUCCACAGUCAAUUACGAAGAUCCCUCAGCCUGCUCCAAAGACCAAACAGGGACUGUAAUAGGGAGGUGAUGUCCACAAUGACUGUAUCUUCAAAGUCUUUGAUAGAGGCACUCAUCUCUCCCCCACCACUGCCAAGGGUGUGUUAAUGUUUUACUGUUUCAGGUUUACUAUACUCCUAGAGAAAGAGCUUCCAUUUGCCCUUCCUAACAAAAACACCCUGUAGCCACAUAUCAGAGAGCAAUUUUUAUGGGUUUUAUCAAUGCUGAACAAGUCCACAGAAAUACCUGGGCUCUGCAAUAUGAACUUGAGACAAAAAUUUAAGAAACUUCUU